This is a non-coding RNA of Coffea arabica (coffee), 3343 nucleotides long. The record is from RefSeq and is a predicted model, not a curated record. NCBI's taxonomy places the organism in Eukaryota, Viridiplantae, Streptophyta, Magnoliopsida, Gentianales, Rubiaceae.
UUUGCUAUCACUGAACUCACCCUGGCCGUUACUUUUGUCUAAGCUUCCACCACCGUUACUCCCAGCACCUCCCUCCCGACAGCUCUACAGCAAGAAAACGUAAUCGGCCUCUCUGAAAUCAUCAAUAGGACUCCACUUGAGUUCUGUACUAAAACCCUAAAAACCGAUGGAGGGGAGUAGCAGCGAAGAACUCGUGAUGUAUAGAGCUCCAGAAGAAUUUGAAGAAGUGAAAAAGGACCCUCUUAUUGAACUCAAUUUAAACGAUUCAAAGGAGCUCUGGCUGAUUCAAUGGCCUGUUAAUCAAGCUCCUGAUUUGAAUGGACAGCAAGUGUCUUUAAAGCUUCACCAUGAUGGACAUCUGGGUAGUUUCGAGGGUUCAUCCGGUACUGCUAUUUUUCCUGAUCACUUUUAUGUUAUUCCAUUGUUUCCUGCAUUUGAUGGUUUUGUGCAAAAGUGGUUUCUAAAUUUGUUAAAAUCCAAGAUUAUGUCAACGAUGAUGAUGGAUGGCAUUGUUUUGUGUCAAUACUGUCAUAGGAAAAUCGUAUGAAGUGGUAAGUUUCAAGUCACAGGAGCCAGAAGCGACUGUAUUCCUGUCAUCAACAUCAGAGUCCAGAAUCGCUGGGAAGAUCUCACGACGCGUUUCUCUACUGCAUUAUCCGGAGCCCAGUGAACUGAAAUCUGGUGGGUUAGCCAUUAAACAAAUGGUGCAAAGGUCUGCUGCUUCCUUGACAAAUUCAGCACAUCAUUAUAGAACUCCUACGCAAAGUACAAGGACAAGAAGUUUAGGGGCUGUGAGUGGCUAUACUUCCUCUAUACGUACUCCAAGAAACAGAAGUUCUAGGUCCGGGGAUGCAUCAAAGAGUCCAUUGAGAAGAGAUGUGGAUGAGCCAGGUAGGUCGAUUGACCAUUCUGUCCAAGAUUCAGGAAAAGAACAUAGAGCUGAUGUCUCUUCUGGAUCAUUAGAACAUCCUAAGCAAAAAAAAUCGAAUAAGAGGUUGAAGAUGUUCUGAUUGUUAGAGACGUGGAAGAACUUCAGUUUCAGUUAUAUGUUGCAUUGAUCCAAAUUUUAACUUUUUCAUGGCAACAAUUGAUCCUUCUUCACAAUGUAUCCUAUUUAUAUACCGUACCAAUUUUAAGUUUAGAUCUGUUCUCCAAUGUGCAUGGAAAACAAUGAGCUGAAAAAAGAGAAAUUUUGAUUUGACCAUUAAGGUGCUUUCAUUGCAACUGCUCAGGAAAUGAGUUCAAAACCAACCAUUUGAUAUAAGCAUCAAAUCCAGAAUGCUACUUGGAAGUAACCAAAACGUCAGACAUUGCACGGAUCAUAUUGCUCAUCCCUUGAUGAGUUUAUUGUACAAACCUUGCAGAAAUGGUAACAAAGGGCAUCGUUGUUGGCACAAAUAAGUCGUUUGUUUUCCUUACAGUUCUUCUCGAUUCAAAACUAAAGUAAGUGCUUAGUCAAGUAAGGCUCGUAAGGCUUGGUGGGAUGAAAGGUCAAGAAUUCGAACCUCGCUUUCCACCAUCUACCACUAUAUGUGGCCAGCCACUUUAAAAGUGGUUCCAAAGGGGUGCGUAGUGCUCUCGUCUGAACUGGUGGUGGUUCAGUCCCUACUGGUUUUCCCUUGAGUCUCUUCAGGUCCUCCCUUCCCCUCCCCUUCCCCCAUAGCAUAGAAUAACAUGUAGGUCUAUCGUAUCCGGCAAAAAAAAGAAAAGAAAAAUGGUGGGAGAACGAGGGAUUAUCUGCAUCAGGGUGACUCCUGUGUAGGACAAAAGGAACGUGUGUCUGUUGAGCUCUGUAAAAUUGAUGCAAGAAUUAUGCGAGUAAUAGCUGCGAUGCAGCAGUUGGAAGCUAAACUUGAGCCUGCAUCUGCUUUUGAUUACCGGGCAAUCGUAGUACCCCUAGUGAAGUCAUAUAUGCGGGCUCACUUGGAGGAUCUUGCAGAGAAAGAUGCCACAGAGAAAUCUGAUGCCGCCAGAGAAGCAUUUUUGGCAGAACUUGCUCUUGAUUCUAAGAAGGGCAGCAGCGGAGGAAGUGAUAAUGCUCGUCAUAUGCAUGAGAAAACAAAGGAUAAGAAAAAGAGCAAGGAUUUUCAAAAAGCCAAGGAUUCAAAGGCUAAUAGUGGCAGUGAGCUACAUAUGCUUUCCUCAGAGACUACUAAAGAAAUCUCAUAUCCAGUCGCACACGAGGGAGAAGAUAUACAGGCUGAGAUAGUGAAUGCUGGAAAUGGUGACACCUUAGAACAAGAGGAAGAGGAAGUCAGGCGUAGAAUUGAACUUGAAGCUGAGGAGAGAAAGCUAGAAGAAACUUUGGAAUAUCAAAGGCAUAUUGAAAAUGAAGCUAAACAGAAGCAUCUAGCUGAGCAACAUAAGAGAACUGUGGGGAUAAAUCCAGAAAAAGUUGCAGCAAUUGCUCACUCUGAUACUUACUUGAAGCAACAUCAAGAUGAUCAUGAUGUCAAUGUCCAAUGGAAAUAUAGAAAAGAAGAACCCGUGGUACAGAGGAAUGGAUUUUCAAAUGCCAUGGAAGGUUUUCCAGAGGAUGGAGUUGGACAAAAAGCUGGCUUGCCCAACGGGGGAAGCUUAGAGGAUGGCCUUUUGCCUUCUGAUCGACGGUCAGGAAGGAGACAUAGACGGCAAAAAUGUGCAGCUAGACUUAACCAGCCCGUGCUAUCAGAAAAGGAAAACUUGGAAUUGAAACCCUUGGAUGAAGCACAUGAUGAUGCAACAAAGACAUUGAGACAACUACAGGCAGAGGAGGAUGAUUAAGAAAGGUUCCAAGGACAGAUGAAUGAUGCUUCUGAAGUGUUGGGUGUCAUAUUUGAUUGCCUUCAUCGAUUAUUUACCUCAACCAUGUGUACUUCUGAUGCCGAAUCAUUAGAUAGCAACUGCAUGGACUCUUGGGAUUGCACAAAUGGUGCUUGCGUUGCACAUUCUCUUUUUGGCAUGGACAUAUUUGAAAGAAUGAAUUGUUACAAUUGUGGUCUGGAGUCCAGACACUUAAAGUACACUUCAUUCUUCCACAAUAUCAAUGCCAGUGCUCUCCGUACUAUGAAGGUUAUGUGUCCAGAAAGCUCUUUUGAUGAGCUUCUGAACCUUGUUGAGAUGAAUCACCAAUUAGCUUGUGAUCCUGAAGCUGGUGGCUGUGGAAAGCUUAACUACAUCCAUCAUAUUCUGUCGACCCCACCACAUGUUUUCACAACAGUUUUGGGUUGGCAGAAUACCUGUGAACAUGUUGAUGACAUAAAGGCCACAUUGACAGCCUUACCUACAGAGAUGGAUAUCAGUGUCCUUUAUCGUGGUCUUGAUCCAAAAAAUAGGCACUGCUUGGUCUCAGUGGUUUGCUAUU